Musa acuminata AAA Group (dessert banana) is the source of this 566-nucleotide long non-coding RNA. RefSeq lists it as uncharacterized. Lineage: Eukaryota; Viridiplantae; Streptophyta; Magnoliopsida; Zingiberales; Musaceae. The transcript is spliced from 2 exons. The record is from RefSeq and is a predicted model, not a curated record.
UGUCGGCCCACCAAAGAAUACACGGAUAAGCUUUAUCCAAUGCCCUCUCCUUAUUACCAAUGGUGACCCCUUCCGGGUCCUUAUAACACUAGGAACGUAGUCUUCAUCGAGCUAUAGAACUGCAGUUGGUCAUCAGAUGGGUGGGGUCGAUGGUGGUUCCUCUGUCUCAGCAAUGGCUCUUAGUUAUUUUGGCUUCCGCAACAACAAGCAGCAAGAGGGAGGAGUACAGCAAGAAACAGAGAGCAUGAGGAAGAGGAGAGAGGAAAGGCGAGGAAGAGUUCGGAGGCCAGUGGAAGGGCAGCCCGAUUUGCAGUGGAGUUGGAUGGCCUGCACUGCUUCGAGACGUUGAUAGCUCACUAAUGGACACUUGCGGUUUUAGAUUUCAUAUAUAGUUAACAUAAUCAAUCCUAAACUAUUACUUCUUCUUCCUUUUGUUCUGCUCGAAGGUUGUCAUUCAUCAGAGGUAUCAUCGAGUAUUCAAGCCCUAUGUUACUUUCUUGUUGCAUUGACACUGGUAACAAAUGUCCUUGAUUCAUCAUCAAUUUGUCAGUGGUAAGUUAAAACAA